This 805-nucleotide ribosomal RNA is filed under the name Cibicidoides wuellerstorfi. RNAcentral's name for it is "bacterial SSU rRNA". It matches the Rfam family "Eukaryotic small subunit ribosomal RNA", at positions 1317 to 1824 of the family's 1831-position model. The record is from RNAcentral. Lineage: Eukaryota; Foraminifera; Rotaliida; Anomalinidae.
UAAAUGCGUUCACUAAGGGCCUAUAAAUUUACGUGUGUGCAUCGCACUUUGACCCCUUUCUUUAAUUAGAGAGCGCGUGUCUUAGUUUUCGCUUUGCUCAUACAAUUAGGUCCUGAAAGCAACGAACSUGRCCGCAACCUCUUGUUGCCUUUAUACCAAACAUGUUUUGCGUCAAUUUUCGAAUUGCGCGCAUUUCAUGAAAAAAGGCUUUUUAAACUAGAGGGACCGCUGUUACUUUCUUAAACCAGAGGAAGGUUGCGGCAAUAACAGGUCUGUGAUGCCCUUAGAUGUUCCGGGCUGCACACGUGCUACAAUGAUUAUUGCAGUGAGCAUCUCAUUUUUACACACCGCAUGCGCGAGUCCAUUUAUUCACCUUCGGGUGUUUUAAAUGUGUAUCUCUGCGCGCGGUAAAGCCUGCUUCGACAGUAAGUGGGUAAUCAAUUAGAAGUAAUGAUUUCCUUUUUUUUAGCACACAUAUAUACGGCGUCUAUGCCCGGGUUACCUUGUUGUAGCUUUUGUGCGUAUAGAUGUUUUUUCCGUAUGUGCGAUUGUCAAUUCAUGGUGGGGACAGACCAUUGUUAAUUGUUGGUCUCGGUCUUAACUAGGAAUGCCUUGUACGGGUCUUUGGUUCAACAAACCACCCGGAAUACGUCCCUGCCCUUUGUACACACCGCCCGUCGCUCUUACCGAUGGACUUCUCUGUGAGUUUGAGGGACUGGGAACGCAGGAAUUUAUUUCUGCACACCUAUGGAAACUUAAACGAACAGUGUGGUCUAAAGGAAAGAGAAGUCGUAACAAGGCAUAA